UUAAAGAGCUUUCAACUGGAAUUCUUUUACGCUGGGAUUGUCGUGGGUGGAGCGUUACGCAACCUUCCAUUAGCAGAAAUAAAGCAGGUUCUCUCCCCAUCGGUAGCUUCGAGUGGCAUUUAACGAUUCCUAUUAGGGUUUCAUGUGUCGGCGAAAUCUUCUCUUUUGUUGUCGUAGUUUAAUACGGUUUCGAAGGGGUUUUUGUACUUGAUUGGUGGAAUUUCUUUUGAUUGCGUGAUUCCUGCGAGCUGCUCGGGGUAAUUGAAGGAAGAGAAAGGGUAGGCGAUGGGUAACACGGGGAGUAGUGGGGGAGGAGGCGCAGGAGGGGGAGGAGGCGCGGGUCGAAGGAGAAACCAUGGACAUCACCAUCAGCACCACGCGCCUUCGAUUCUUCCACCGCCUGCGCCGCAGUCGGUGCCUCCGGCGCCGUCUCCUGAGGUCUCUGCUGGUAAUCGGUAUGUGUUUGCUGCGGCGACGCCGUACCCUCAAUACCCCAACCCUAAUUCUCCGCAGUAUUAUCAGUACGUUGGAUCUUACCCGCCACCGCCGCCGAUGCCCGCCCCGAUGCCUGCGCCGUUUGAUCAUUACCAGCGUGGUGCCGGUGGGGAUCACCCUGCUUAUCACCCGGGGUGGGCCAGUGCGCCGAGGUAUCCGUACUGCCCCGCGCCGCCGCCCCCGCCUACUCCUUUCGUGGAGCACCAGAAAGCAGUCACGAUAAGGAAUGAUGUGAAUCUCAAGAAAGAAACUCUGAGGAUUGUGCCCGAUGAGGAGAAUCCUGGCAGAUAUCUUGUAACCUUUACCUUUGAUGCCACUGUUUCUGGAAGCAUUUCUGUUUUCUUCUUUGCCAAAGAAGGACUUGACUGUAACCUUAUACCAACAAAGGAUGGCUUGCUUUCCCCAGUUACUGUUUCAUUCAAUGAUGGACUUGGCCAGAAGUUCAAGCAGCCAUCUAGUACUGGGAUUGACCUCUCAAUGUUUGAGGAAGCAGAAUUGAUUAAGGAGGGGGAAACAGAUGCUUACCCAUUGGCAAUCAAAGCAGAAGCAUGCCAUGUUGACAAGCAAGGACUGGAAGGAAGUCAUGGUACUGUUACUCCAAACUCGCAGAUAACUCAAGCGGUUUUUGAGAAGAAGGAGAAUGGCGAAUACCAAGUUCGUGUGGUGAAACAGAUCUUGUGGGUGAAUGGAACCAGAUACGAGCUGCAAGAGAUCUAUGGAAUAGGAAAUUCUGUUGAUGGUGAUUAUGAUGGGAAUGAUCCUGGCAAAGAAUGUGUGAUUUGUCUCUCAGAACCAAGAGACACUACUGUCCUACCCUGCAGACAUAUGUGCAUGUGUAGCGGUUGUGCCAAGGUUCUUAGGUACCAAACAAAUCGAUGCCCUAUAUGCAGGCAACCAGUGGAGCGCCUGUUGGAGAUCAAGGUUAACAACAGGGGCGAGGAUGAGCAGAAUGCGAGAGCAGAAACAAGUGAUCUGAAAGCUUAACCUUUUUCUGGGUGAAAUCUCUUUGAAUAAUCCACACAGUGGUGAAACAUGUAUAUUGCUCUAUUUUGGUUCUCAAGAUUGAUGCUUGUUUGUGAUUUCUACCCACUUUCUGAUCAGCUGGAUCUGCUAUGAAAUCAACUGCUGCAGCAAGUCAUGGGAGAGAGGUAAGGUUUCUUACAUCAUAAUUUAAAAUUUGACAAAUUCAAAUCACUAAUGUUUUGCUUGAGACGGCUUUUUUAUUGCUUUUUAAAACAACUUUUUAGUAUAAAAAUUUCUUAAACUAAUUUUUUUUUUACUAAAAAGUUAUUUUAGAAAGCAGAAAGAAAGUGGUCCCAAUUGUAGCUUACAUUUAUCUUCUUUUAGGCUUCAUUUGGGACUACUUUUCAUUGGUUCUUAAAUUUUUGUACUAAAAUUCUAUUUUAAGAAGCAAUAAAAAAACCAUUUCAAACGAAGUGUUAGGCUUCGUUUGGAACGGCUUUCUUACUGCUUCUUAAAACAAUUUUUUAGUAUAAAAAUUUUAUUUAUUGUAUUAGAAAACUGCUUUAAGAAGCAGUAAGAAAGCCGUUCCAAAUGAAGUCUUACUUUAAAUAAUUCGGCCAUUUUAUUCUCAAUAUAUCUGACUUUUUCAUAUAUUUUAUUUAAAACCAAACAGGGGUAUUAUUGAUAAUUUGAUAGUUCUUUUUUAUCA
Molecule: RNA transcript, 2167 nt
Organism: Dendrobium catenatum
Lineage: Eukaryota; Viridiplantae; Streptophyta; Magnoliopsida; Asparagales; Orchidaceae
Gene name: probable E3 ubiquitin-protein ligase LUL2
Exons: 4
Source: RefSeq, a predicted model, not a curated record